GGAGAGAUGGCUGAGUGGACUAAAGCGUCGGAUGCUAAUCCGUUGUAUGAAUUAUUCGUACCGAGGGUUCAAAUCCCUCUCUCUCCG
Molecule: transfer RNA, 87 nt
Filed under: Oncidium hybrid cultivar
Lineage: Eukaryota; Viridiplantae; Streptophyta; Magnoliopsida; Asparagales; Orchidaceae
Description: tRNA-Ser
Rfam family: tRNA
About the family: Transfer RNA (tRNA) molecules are approximately 80 nucleotides in length. Their secondary structure includes four short double-helical elements and three loops (D, anti-codon, and T loops). Further hydrogen bonds mediate the characteristic L-shaped molecular structure. tRNAs have two regions of fundamental functional importance: the anti-codon, which is responsible for specific mRNA codon recognition, and the 3' end, to which the tRNAs corresponding amino acid is attached (by aminoacyl-tRNA synthetases). tRNAs cope with the degeneracy of the genetic code in two manners: having more than one tRNA (with a specific anti-codon) for a particular amino acid; and 'wobble' base-pairing, i.e. permitting non-standard base-pairing at the 3rd anti-codon position.
Source: RNAcentral